RNAcentral lists this ribosomal RNA (425 nucleotides) under uncultured bacterium. Its description in RNAcentral is "bacterial SSU rRNA". It matches the Rfam family "Bacterial small subunit ribosomal RNA", at positions 356 to 773 of the family's 1533-position model. The record is from RNAcentral.
AGGGAAUCUUCCACAAUGGACGAAAGUCUGAUGGAGCAACGCCGCGUGAGUGAUGAAGGUUUUCGGAUCGUAAAACUCUGUUGUAAGGGAAGAACAAGUACGUUAGGAAAUGAACGUACCUUGACGGUACCUUAUUAGAAAGCCACGGCUAACUACGUGCCAGCAGCCGCGGUAAUACGUAGGUGGCAAGCGUUGUCCGGAUUUAUUGGGCGUAAAGCGCGCGCAGGCGGUUUCUUAAGUCUGAUGUGAAAGCCCACGGCUUAACCGUGGAGGGUCAUUGGAAACUGGGAGACUUGAGUGCAGAAGAGGAAAGUGGAAUUCCAAGUGUAGCGGUGAAAUGCGUAGAGAUUUGGAGGAACACCAGUGGCGAAGGCGACUUUCUGGUCUGCAACUGACGCUGAGGCGCGAAAGCAUGGGGAGCAAAC